RNAcentral lists this ribosomal RNA (682 nucleotides) under uncultured Bacteroidales bacterium. Its description in RNAcentral is "bacterial SSU rRNA". It matches the Rfam family "Bacterial small subunit ribosomal RNA", at positions 68 to 742 of the family's 1533-position model. Lineage: Bacteria; Pseudomonadati; Bacteroidota; Bacteroidia; Bacteroidales. The record is from RNAcentral.
AGCAUGGUCUUAGCUUGCUAAGGCCGAUGGCGACCGGCGCACGGGUGAGUAACACGUAUCCAACCUGCCGUCUACUCUUGGACAGCCUUCUGAAAGGAAGAUUAAUACAAGAUGGCAUCAUGAGUUCACAUGUUCACAUGAUUAAAGGUAUUCCGGUAGACGAUGGGGAUGCGUUCCAUUAGAUAGUAGGCGGGGUAACGGCCCACCUAGUCUUCGAUGGAUAGGGGUUCUGAGAGGAAGGUCCCCCACAUUGGAACUGAGACACGGUCCAAACUCCUACGGGAGGCAGCAGUGAGGAAUAUUGGUCAAUGGGCGAGAGCCUGAACCAGCCAAGUAGCGUGAAGGAUGACUGCCCUAUGGGUUGUAAACUUCUUUUAUAAAGGAAUAAAGUCGGGUAUGGAUACCCGUUUGCAUGUACUUUAUGAAUAAGGAUCGGCUAACUCCGUGCCAGCAGCCGCGGUAAUACGGAGGAUCCGAGCGUUAUCCGGAUUUAUUGGGUUUAAAGGGAGCGUAGAUGGAUGUUUAAGUCAGUUGUGAAAGUUUGCGGCUCAACCGUAAAAUUGCAGUUGAUACUGGAUAUCUUGAGUGCAGUUGAGGCAGGCGGAAUUCGUGGUGUAGCGGUGAAAUGCUUAGAUAUCACGAAGAACUCCGAUUGCGAAGGCAGCCUGCUAAGCUGCAACUG